CAUAACUGUGGCAAUUACACUGCUAACGUCUCUGAAGAGAAAGCAAACAGCCCAGCUUAGGCAGUCUGUCUUCUAGGGGUGGGCAGAGCUUUGCAGCUGAUCUGAGACUUGCUACCUUCACUUUCGAUAUGAAUCAGAUCAGUGUCUCAGCUCAGUACAGUAUAUAAGGAGGAGACAUGCGUCUGUGUCUGUGUGUCAAGAUAUCACAGCGGGAGACUGGCCCAUCUGUUCUACAUCAGUAAAGCUAAGAGGAACUGAAAAGUUUCAGGACUAACGGCAGGCUGAGCAGGGG
Non-coding RNA from Chelonoidis abingdonii (Abingdon island giant tortoise), 292 nucleotides. The record is from RefSeq and is a predicted model, not a curated record. NCBI's taxonomy places the organism in Eukaryota, Metazoa, Chordata, Testudines, Testudinidae.